Molecule: ribosomal RNA, 328 nt
Filed under: uncultured Bacteroidota bacterium
Lineage: Bacteria; Pseudomonadati; Bacteroidota
Description: bacterial SSU rRNA
Rfam family: Bacterial small subunit ribosomal RNA
Source: RNAcentral
GAUGAACGCUAGCGGCAGGCUUAAUACAUGCAAGACGAACGGUAACUGGAGUAGCAAUACAACAGCUAGAGUGUCGUACGGGUGCGUAACACGUAUGCAACCUACCUUGUACAGGGGUAUAGCUCGGGGAAACUCGAAUUAACCCCCCAUAAUAUCAUGGUGUGGCAUCACACUAUGAUUAAAACUUACGGUGGUACAAGAUGGGCGAUGCGUUUGAUUAGUUAGUUGGCAGUGUAAAGGACUACCAAGACGAUGAUCAAUAGGGGACCUGAGAGGGUGAUCCCCCACACUGGCACUGAGAUACGGGCCAGACUCCUACGGGAGGCAG